RNAcentral lists this ribosomal RNA (463 nucleotides) under uncultured bacterium. Its description in RNAcentral is "bacterial SSU rRNA". It matches the Rfam family "Bacterial small subunit ribosomal RNA", at positions 923 to 1379 of the family's 1533-position model. The record is from RNAcentral.
GCACAAGCGGUGGAGCAUGUGGCUUAAUUCGACGCAACGCGAAGAACCUUACCAAGGCUUGACAUACACCGGAAACGGCCAGAGAUGGUCGCCCCCUUGUGGUCGGUGUACAGGUGGUGCAUGGCUGUCGUCAGCUCGUGUCGUGAGAUGUUGGGUUAAGUCCCGCAACGAGCGCAACCCUUGUCCUGUGUUGCCAGCAUGCCCUUCGGGGUGAUGGGGACUCACAGGAGACUGCCGGGGUCAACUCGGAGGAAGGUGGGGACGACGUCAAGUCAUCAUGCCCCUUAUGUCUUGGGCUGCACACGUGCUACAAUGGCAGGUACAAUGAGCUGCGAAGCCGUGAGGCGGAGCGAAUCUCAAAAAGCCUGUCUCAGUUCGGAUUGGGGUCUGCAACUCGACCCCAUGAAGUCGGAGUUGCUAGUAAUCGCAGAUCAGCAUUGCUGCGGUGAAUACGUUCCCGGGC